AUAAAGGAACCAAACGAACCCCACCCCCUCAAACGAACCCCACCUCUUUGUCUCUGAUCUUCAGAUACCAAAUCUCACCGAAACCCUAGCCUUCACCCCAUCCCCUCACCUAAAACCCGACGGCAACAACGCCUGUGACCACCAAAAUAACACCCCUAACUACCAAACCACCCUUUUUCCGAAUCCAUGGCCCUCGCACUUUUGUUGUUGUUAUUAUUUGCCUAAUUAAGUUUCAUUGUAAUUUAUCACUUCUGUCAAUUACUUCUUCCCCCCUCCCCCUCUUUUUGGACCUUUUUUCUGGUCCAGUUUUUCAUCACUGGUUAUUAGUAUAUCUAAUAUGUUGUUGAAUAUGUUUAUUCGUUAGCUAAAUUUUAAAUUCAGUGUCCAUAAGUUCUUGUACAAAACUAUAAUUGUUUGCUCAAAUGAUUUCACUUUUGUGUGAUGUUUGGUUCCCUGCUCUUUGUUAUUCAUCGUUUUUGCAUAUGAGUUCAGUUUUUGUUCGAUCCAGUGUAUUUGCAGUGUUCAUUCAUUAUUGUCUAAGUUAAUUAUGACUUUUUCCCAAUAUGGUUAUCUUAUUCCCUUGUAUUUGUGUGAAUCAAUUUUGACCUUACCAGUUCAAUACAAUAUUUCUGAAUCACUGAAUCCUUGGUUGCUGUUUGAAGCUAUUUGGUUUAAUCUGAUGUUCAAGCUUAUAUUGUUGAUUGAGUUCAGUGAGGUAAAUUACAAUGUUAUGUUGGGUUGUGAUAUGAAUUGAACUUGAGUUUAAAUUCAACCUUAGUUAAUCAGUGAUUAGGUUUCUUAUAUAGGUUAAUUGGUAUAGCUGAUGGGGUAGGACAGUAAUUCUUAUUAAGUUCAGAGGGGUAGUUUGGGACUUAAAUGUUUAAAAUGGUUAGGUUAAGUGUUCUGUCCAGUAAAGUACUGAUUUACAUUUAAACUAAGGUAUUUGUUCAAUAAUAUUGGGGAACAAGACAUAAUAGUAUGGGUAUUUUUUAAGAGAAAGUGAUUAUAAAAGUAACUCACUCAUAACCUUAGAGCUAGACAAUGAAACAAAAACAUACAGUAAUGGGUUCAGGGAAUAUCAUGGGCAGAAAUAUUUUCCUAAUAUGUUUAAGUGUCCCAAGAGGCUGAUAAGGGCUGUAGUUUUGCAUAUAAAUGGUGGAAGUAUUGGUAGAGGAGGGGCAGAUUUUUUUUGGAAAUCAGCUUCAGAGGUCACACUUGAAAGAAGAUCAAAAGUUUUAGAUAAAGAAGCAAUGAGUUUUUCUUAGGUUCUGGAUCUUGAGUCUAAAAGAGUUUGAGAAUUUUGAAAGUCUUAAUCAGUGUUGAGAGUUUAAAAGUAGUCUUAGAGAGUUGGUCAAUUUGAGAAGUAUAGGAAAGGUUUGAGAAAAGGGGAUACUGUUCCAUUGGUUUCCAGAUAAAAUUUGGGGUUCUAGACAUUGAUUCCAACUCCUUGUUGAUUGCUGAACCUAUUUUGAAGUCUACUGAUUUUGCGUUUGAACUUAUUCAAGCUCAGUUGAGUCUAUUUAGGUAUUGAUUAUUGUUGUCGAGUUUUACAAAUUAGUUUGGUCUUUGGGUUUGAGUGUACUUCUUGUUAGGGAGUUGUGUUGCUGUGUUGGUUAUUUUAAAACUGUACCAUUGUUGUUGCUGGUGUUACUGCUACCUGGCUGCUACUAACCUCUCUUUCUUCUUGUUCUAUUUCCAAUACAGGUACACAUUUGUUACUCAAGGAUUAUGAAUUGAAAUAUGAGCAGAAAUGAGUAUAUGAAGAAUGAGUUAUUUGAAAACUGAAUUUCUGAGUUAGUUUGUUUUCAGGCUUAUAAAUUUAGCACGUGGUUCACGAAUGUUGUUCAAGUUGUUGCUUGUGUCGUACUAAAUGGACUAUAUAAAGUGUUAUAUUAUAUAUUCAUGUAAUUGCAAUAAGGUGGAAAUUAGUGUUAUCACAGAAUGAUUUUGUAGAAGGAUUGAUAAAUUGUUUCAAACCUUUGUAAGUAGUGAAAGAUGCAGUUUCAUGUUUUAUAGUUAACUCCAGUAUUCCAGCUUAUCUAAUAAUGCGAGUUUGACUUAGUUUAAAAAUGGCUGGUAUGUAUUGGUAUUGGUAAUACUAUUGUCAAAUCUAUGCAUCUUUAUAAUUUUCAACAUCAGUGAUAUCCAAGAAUUCAUCAAUAGAUAACGAGAUAAAGUAUACAAGCUUGAAAAGAGAUUCAAACAGUUAAUGUCUAAUUAAUUGUA
This 2226-nucleotide long non-coding RNA is filed under the name Nicotiana benthamiana. Its description in RNAcentral is "long non-coding RNA (NBEN_LNC035844)". Lineage: Eukaryota; Viridiplantae; Streptophyta; Magnoliopsida; Solanales; Solanaceae. The record is from RNAcentral.